GCGCCUGUAGCUCAGCGGAUAGAGCGUCGGACUCCGGAUCCGAAGGUCACAGGUUCAAAUCCUGUCAGGCGUACCA
RNAcentral lists this transfer RNA (76 nucleotides) under Candidatus Rokuibacteriota bacterium. RNAcentral describes it as "tRNA-Arg". It matches the Rfam family "tRNA". From Rfam's summary of the family: Transfer RNA (tRNA) molecules are approximately 80 nucleotides in length. RNAcentral also lists the same sequence under 2 other names. The record is from RNAcentral. Lineage: Bacteria; Candidatus Rokuibacteriota.